AACCUCUCAAUGUCACACCUGGAGAGUUUCCAGUACUCAACCAGUCUCAACUAUGGGAGGGAGCGUUAAGCAGAGACAUAUCCAUUCCAUUCCAAGCUUGGCCAGUGGCUAGUGAGUGGAAGGCAAUCUGCUACAAGU
Ornithorhynchus anatinus (platypus) is the source of this 138-nucleotide small nucleolar RNA. The record is from RefSeq and is a predicted model, not a curated record. NCBI's taxonomy places the organism in Eukaryota, Metazoa, Chordata, Mammalia, Monotremata, Ornithorhynchidae.